CAGCUUUGGACCCGUGUCUGCCGGUAGGCCCCCCGUCUCUGUGCGGCCGACUACCGGCGCCGUGUCCCGUCAUUCGUGUGGCUUAUGUUACUGUUGCCUUUAAGUGCUUGCGUGCUGGUACCCGACCUACGGGAAGUGGUGCUUCAUACACGGUUGCCUCGCGGUGGACGCCUUUGGGUGUGCUGCUGCGGCCGAAUGGCGCUUGCGGCGUUGCCUCGUGGUGCUGGCACGUUUUUGUGCCUGGUGCUAUCAAGGCAGCCUCGUUCCCGCUGUUGGUUUCGGAUGUCGCUCACAAUAAAAGCUCAUGGCCCUUAUGGUUGCCUUGAACUGACCCUAAAUAUUGGCCCGCUCAAUUGCGACAACUGGCCUGGCGGUUGCCUCUGCCUUUCCACGCAAGUGGACGGGCGAACAACUACCGGCGCUGGACGUCAAAGAGG
This 437-nucleotide unclassified non-coding RNA is filed under the name Erianthecium bulbosum. RNAcentral's name for it is "Chascolytrum bulbosum partial external transcribed spacer". Lineage: Eukaryota; Viridiplantae; Streptophyta; Magnoliopsida; Poales; Poaceae. The record is from RNAcentral.